UUCCCUCUCCUUUUUCUUGCAUUCCUUGUAAACAUCGAAAUGUUCUUGGCAUUUGCUCUUCUCUGAGCUAAAUUGUUCCAAACAUUUGAGCGAAGCAGUGUAUUGAGGAUAACAAUCGGAAUCAGCAAGUUUUGCUGCACUUGGAUACGCCGGUGUUUGAAUUUUCGAAUUUGCCAUCUUGCCCUAAUUUUUCCAAUUUCUG
RNAcentral lists this unclassified non-coding RNA (202 nucleotides) under Hevea brasiliensis (rubber tree). Lineage: Eukaryota; Viridiplantae; Streptophyta; Magnoliopsida; Malpighiales; Euphorbiaceae. The record is from RNAcentral.